This 849-nucleotide long non-coding RNA is filed under the name Gallus gallus (chicken). Its description in RNAcentral is "lncRNA (ENSGALG00010029112.1)". Lineage: Eukaryota; Metazoa; Chordata; Aves; Galliformes; Phasianidae. The record is from RNAcentral.
AAUAUUGCUUCCUUCGACUGAUGAGAUUUAUGGGUGCUGUAUGGAUGAUUUAUAGAGAAGAUCACUUAAUACUCUCUCGACUGUUCUCGAUAAAACCAUGGUCUGCCCAACACUGUGCUGCUGCAGGACCAUACCCCAUUUCACCAAGCAAGGUGUGCCAACAGCCACAGCCCAGAGAGCCCUGGGAGCAACGUUAGAGCUUGUAGGAGCAUCCCCGAUGCCAAUGUGUGACCUUGCUAAGGGCUGCAGUUAAUGCAGAUUCAACAAAUAAAUAAACAUUUGCAAUAGGUUCAGACGUGACCUCAUCCCAACGGUGAUCACUAACAGAAUUAUUGACCUGACCGUUUGCUGCUGGAGAAUUUUGGAAAUGCCAGGUUCAUUACAGCCCUGCUUAUUGCCAGGAAGCAUUACAGCUUUGUGCUCGCAGCAGCUUUAAAGGCAGAUGAAAGCCAUAACGCCGGGUCACCCCAGAGACACACCAAGUGCAUCAUCUCAGGUGACCUUUGGGGCUGGGAAGAAGCUGCAGUUUCCCACUAGCAUCCAUGAGUCAACACGAGCAUCAAGUCACAGCAGCACGCCGAACCUCAUUUAUCAUUCCAUUUAAGGUGUCAGCAGAGCCAUUAUUCAAAUGAAUGGCCACGCAUGCAAUCAAUCUUUAAUGAAACAAUAAUUGCACCUUCCACUCUGCAAGACCUCUGCCUUUCUUAAAGGUAUCCUGUGUAUUAAUUAUUGAAAAUGUCUGUGUUUUACCAGCAGUAAGUUAUGUUUCACCAAUUGCCAUCUUUCAAGAGAGUUUUAACUGGGAAAUUUAUGACUCUCGAUUUCGCUAAGGAAAAAAUAAACAGCAGA